GUAGGUGAACCUGCGGAAGGAUCAUUAUCAUACAACUGAGGUGCAGGGGCUGUCGCUGACCUUGAAAGGGGUUGUGCACGCCCAAGCGCUUUUUCACAUCCAUCUCACCCCUUUGUGCAUCACCGCGUGGGCCCCUCUCUGCGGAGAGGGCCUGCGUUUUCACAUAAAACUUGAUACAGUGUAGAAUGUCUUCUUGCGGUCACACGCAAUAAAUACAACUUUCAACAACGGAUCUCUUGGCUCUCGCAUCGAUGAAGAACGCAGCGAAAUGCGAUACGUAAUGUGAAUUGCAGAAUUCAGUGAAUCAUCGAAUCUUUGAACGCACCUUGCGCCCCUUGGCAUUCCGAGGGGCACACCCGUUUGAGUGUCGUGAAAUUCUCAAAACCUCUUCUUUGACCCUUUUACUGGUCGGGAAGAGGAUUUUGGACUUGGAGGUUUAAUAAUGCUUGCUUAAAGUGAGCUCCUCUCAAAUGGAUUAGUGGGGGUCUGCUUUGUCGGUCCUUGACGUGAUAAGAUGUUUUGACGUCUUGGAUUUGGCACUGUCGCUUGGAUGCCUGCUUCUAACUGUCCAUCUCAUGGACAACGAUGGUGCUUUGGUCUCUCCCAUCCACGUUGGUGAGAGAGGCUGGACCCACAAAAAAAAAACCUUGACCUCAAAUCGGGU
RNAcentral lists this ribosomal RNA (664 nucleotides) under Russula cremeo-ochracea. RNAcentral describes it as "eukaryotic LSU rRNA". The stretch from base 217 to 370 matches the Rfam family "5.8S ribosomal RNA". Lineage: Eukaryota; Fungi; Basidiomycota; Agaricomycetes; Russulales; Russulaceae. The record is from RNAcentral.